CAGGUACCUGAAUUGACAGCAGCAGCUUGAUAUUUCUUCAGAGCUGGAGCUGAAGGGAAAAGAACAUGCCCCACUGUUCUACUAUUGAUGGCCUCGGCUAUAAGAACAGACACUCCUGACUCGGUUGUCGGUUCAAGGAACGAGCUUCGUGCAAGACAGAUGCGCAUUGCUGAGAUAACUGAAAUGAUUCAUGUAGCAAGCCUUAUCCAUGAUGAUGUUCUGGAUGCUGCUGAUACCAGACGUGGUAUGGACUCCCUGAACUCUGCGGUGGGAAACAAGCUUGCGGCAUUGGCUGGUGAUUUCCUACUUUUCAGGGCAUUUUCUGCUGCCGGAUCUCUAGAGAAUACAGAGGUUGUAUCUUUACUAGCAACAGCUCUAAAUAACCUUGUGACAGGUGAGCUUAUGCAGAUGACCGUAACUCCAGCACAACGCUGCAGCAUGGAUUACUAUUUGCAGAAGACAUACUACAAGACAGCUGCACUCAUUUCAAAUAGCUGCAAAGCCGUUGCAGUUCUUUCUGGCCAAACAGCAGAGGUUGCAGGCCUUGCUUAUCAGUAUGGCAGGCACUUGGGUAUAGCAUAUCAGCUGAUCGACGACAUCCUUGAUUUCACGGGCACAUCCGCUUCACUAGGCAAAGGCUCCUUGUCUGAUAUCCAUCAAGGAAUCGUGACCGCUCCUGUGUUGUUCGCAAUGGAAGAGUUCCCUGAGCUACGUGGGAGUGUAGAGCAUGGAUUCAAUGACCCUUCAGAUGUUGCUACUGCCCUUGAAUACCUUGCGAAAAGCCAGGGAAUCGAGAGGACAAGGUUGCUUGCUACUGAACACGCAAAACUGGCAGCGCGCGCGAUCGAUGCGCUUCCUGAGGUUGGGAACAAAGUUGCACUGGUGUCGAGACAAGCACUCAAAGACCUUGCUCAAAAGCUCAUCAGGAGAACAAAGUGA
Molecule: ribosomal RNA, 939 nt
Filed under: Triticum aestivum (bread wheat)
Lineage: Eukaryota; Viridiplantae; Streptophyta; Magnoliopsida; Poales; Poaceae
Description: partial small subunit ribosomal RNA
Source: RNAcentral